Molecule: ribosomal RNA, 253 nt
Filed under: uncultured bacterium
Lineage: Bacteria
Description: partial 16S ribosomal RNA
Rfam family: Bacterial small subunit ribosomal RNA
Source: RNAcentral
UACGUAGGGGGCAAGCGUUGUCCGGAAUCAUUGGGCGUAAAGAGCGUGUAGGCGGCUCGAUAAGUCCGCUGUGAAAGUCCAGGGCUCAACCCUGGAAGGCCGGCGGAAGCUGUCGGGCUAGAGUCCGGAAGAGGCGAGUGGAAUUCCCGGUGUAGCGGUGAAAUGCGCAGAUAUCGGGAGGAACACCAAUGGCGAAGGCAGCUCGCUGGGACGGUACUGACGCUGAGACGCGAAAGCGUGGGGAGCAAACAGG